GACCUUUUCAAACAGGGCGCAAAGCCUUAUAUCAAAAGGGCUGUUUCGGCAGCUAUGGCAAUAAACGGAAGAUGCAAUAAACCCAUCGGACCCGGGGGCAGUACCCGGCGCCUCCACCACAAACGGCUGGACCGCUUCAAUGAGCCGGUUGUGUUGGGGGCGACACAGGAUCGACGAGGGCGUAAAGAUCAACUUUUUGCCCGGCAUGGUUCCGCCGUUAUCGGGCCGACUCAAUAGUUGCAAACGACAACUAUGCGGAAGCACGUCUCGCCGCUUAAUGCGGUGCGACAGCUUCAAUUAAACUCCUGACCGGUCGCACGGUCAGGCGGGGUUCGGAGGCACCUGGCAACAGAAGCCUCCACU
Molecule: transfer-messenger RNA, 363 nt
Filed under: Allohoeflea poritis
Lineage: Bacteria; Pseudomonadati; Pseudomonadota; Alphaproteobacteria; Hyphomicrobiales; Rhizobiaceae
Rfam family: Alphaproteobacteria transfer-messenger RNA
About the family: Bacterial tmRNA, also known as 10Sa RNA or SsrA, is named for its dual tRNA and mRNA-like properties. Its role is to liberate the mRNA from a stalled ribosome.
Source: RNAcentral